CGAACAGGAAGGGGAACGUGAUGAUCGUGUACAGGGCCGGAUUAGCCUCGCGGUACGACGCAAUACCGUACGCAUCGAUCAGAUUCUGGAAGCCGCGUGUAAAUUUGUUCGUACGAUUGUACGUUGGCGGAUCCUCAUCGGUGGCGAUAAUGUUCAGGAACGACGGUACAGCACUACCAACUGCAGCCGAUCCAUUCACCAACGCGGUCUUUACGUCCUGCAGACCAGCGGUCGGUACCCAGGCCUCUCCGAACAGACACUUCUUUGAAACGUCCACAUUGAACAUGUUCAGCGUAUGAUAGAUGGCC
Anopheles maculipalpis is the source of this 308-nucleotide long non-coding RNA. RefSeq lists it as uncharacterized. The record is from RefSeq and is a predicted model, not a curated record. The transcript is spliced from 3 exons. NCBI's taxonomy places the organism in Eukaryota, Metazoa, Arthropoda, Insecta, Diptera, Culicidae.